This 441-nucleotide ribosomal RNA is filed under the name uncultured bacterium. RNAcentral describes it as "partial 16S ribosomal RNA". It matches the Rfam family "Bacterial small subunit ribosomal RNA", at positions 338 to 795 of the family's 1533-position model. The record is from RNAcentral.
CCUACGGGAGGCAGCAGUGGGGGAUAUUGCACAAUGGGGGAAAGCCUGAUGCAGCGACGCCGCGUGGGUGAAGAAGGCUUUCGGGAUGUAAAGCCCUAUCAGCAGGGAAGAAAGAAGACGGUACCUGACUAAGAAGCCCCGGCUAACUACGUGCCAGCAGCCGCGGUAAGACGGAGGGGGCGAGCGUUAUCCGGAUUCACGGGGUGUAAAGGGAGCGUAGACGGCCGGGCAAGCCAGGAGUGAAAGCCCGGGGCUCAACCCCGGGACUGCUUUUGGAACUGUGCGGCUGGAGUGCGGGAGGGGCAGGCGGAAUGCCUGGUGUAGCGGUGAAAUGCGUAGAUAUCAGGAGGAACACCGGCGGCGAAGGCGGCCUGCUGGACCGCGACUGACGUUGAGGCUCGAAAGCGUGGGGAGCGAACAGGAUUAGAUACCCCAGUAGUC